This 253-nucleotide ribosomal RNA is filed under the name uncultured bacterium. RNAcentral describes it as "partial 16S ribosomal RNA". It matches the Rfam family "Bacterial small subunit ribosomal RNA", at positions 524 to 776 of the family's 1533-position model. The record is from RNAcentral.
UACGCAGGGAGCUAGCGUUGUUCGGAAUCACUGGGCGUAAAGCGCACGUAGGCGGAUUUGUCAGUCAGGGGUGAAAUCCCGGGGCUCAACCUCGGAACUGCCUUUGAUACAGCAAGUCUUGAGUUCGAGAGAGGUGGGUGGAAUUCCUAGUGUAGAGGUGAAAUUCGUAGAUAUUAGGAAGAACACCGGUGGCGAAGGCGGCCCACUGGCUCGAUACUGACGCUGAGGUGCGAAAGCUAGGGGAGCAAACGGG